This is a small nucleolar RNA of Hyaena hyaena (striped hyena), 131 nucleotides long. RefSeq annotates it as small nucleolar RNA SNORA70. The record is from RefSeq and is a predicted model, not a curated record. The transcript has a single exon. Lineage: Eukaryota; Metazoa; Chordata; Mammalia; Carnivora; Hyaenidae.
CUACAGUUAAAACAACCAUGCUCUUUUCCCUGUGAGGAUCCAGGGUCCAGCAGCUACAAAUAGCAGCCUUCUGGGUAGUUUCUGCAGCCUGUGGCUUAUAUGGGUUGCCCUAAGGGGCUUCAGAGAUAGCC